Molecule: ribosomal RNA, 267 nt
Filed under: uncultured bacterium
Lineage: Bacteria
Description: partial 16S ribosomal RNA
Rfam family: Bacterial small subunit ribosomal RNA
Source: RNAcentral
GUCCUGGCAGUAAACGGUGCACGUUUGGUGUGGGAGGAUUCGACCCCUUCUGCGCCGGAGCUAACGCGUUAAACGUGCCGCCUGGGGAGUACGGUCGCAAGAUUAAAACUCAAAGAAAUUGACGGGGGCCCGCACAAGCGGUGGAGUAUGUGGCUCAAUUCGAUGCAACGCGAAGAACCUUACCUGGCCUUGACAUGCAUCUCUAAGCGCGUGAAAGCGCGUGAGUCCCGAAAGGGACAAUUUGCACAGGUGCUGCAUGGCUGUCGU